CAUCAGAUGUUUUCGUAAGAUUACAGGUAUAAACAUGUCAGGUGAGAAAAAUACAAUUGCUUGUCGAGGAAACUACAUUUUAAAGCCAAGACCACUUUGAAACUCAAUCAUGCACAACUGUUUUCAUUAGAGGAUGGCAAAAGAUGACCUUUUUCUGAAAUAAGUAGCCACAUUUCUACAGAAUGUUAUUAAUUGUGCAUGGCUAGCAUAUAUUUGGUUCAAAGCACUGAAAUUUUUGUGUUGGCUGUCAUUCCAUCCUGGCUGAGUUUGAUGCUCGUAGCCAGUUCUCUCUGGCUGUUGUGCACUUACCAUGUUAGGCAUGUACCCAGUUUCUGCCAAAGAAAUGUUUAGAAAGAUGUGAGGUGCAGGUGCCUCAACAUAAUAAAUCUCUAAAGUUACUAAAAGGGCAGAUCGGUGCAUGUAGCUCCCGCUUGCGCAGGGUCCGGGGAAGGGAAGGGUCCGACCACUUCUCUAAAGUUACUAAGCUCCCAGGAAAUAGAACACCCUCAGUGAUCUGUUUUUUUAUGUUUCUAGUCCCACUGGUCAGCUGGUGUUGACGCAAUCUAAACCACUUUGACUAGGUGCCCUGGAUCGCUGCGUUUGGGGGAAACAUGCCUCUUUUUCGCCUCUUCAUGGGCAGCGUGGGGAGGAGAAAAGGCAGUGGGCAGCUUUGUGGCUUCGCUGGAUUGAUUGUGUGUGGUGGCUCCGAGGGGCGGUGCUGCUCCAACCGGCCACCACAUCGACAACCACAGGAACCACUUGGUAGUGUGGUCACCUCAUUCGCGUUGACAUCAGUUGUUCAUCCCUGAAGGUUUGUUGGCGCGUCUGCAUGUGGCCGCUGAUGGGCCUUUGGUCAUUCGAUUUAUUGGGGGUAAUCAGUGGAAGAUGGACUCUAGCUCGGGCUCAAAUGCUGCAGCGAAUCAGCCUGAGGCACUUAGCACGCAGGGAUAGAGAAAACAGAGAAGCAGGAAAGGAGUGGUCAGCCAGACUUAGUGUUGGAGUUUUCAGGUCACUUGCCUUAUAAGUUUUUGAUGUGUUCAGUUACGCAAUUUCAAAAUAGGCUAAUAUUAUCACAAAAUUUUCAGCGGUGACCGCUUAGAAUAUUUGUCAGGCUACAAAGAAUUGGAAGAUAGGAUGCACUUUUCACCAAAUUUGGAAAGAGCACAGCUCAGUCUGGCGUUAUUGCUUAUUGAUAACGUCCUGGAUUUGGCAAGUGGUCAUGUUGUUGUUUAACAAAAUAACUUUUCAUCAGACCUAACAAAGUUAUAGAUCAGUCAAAAACUAGACCACUGGGACAAGAAAGAGAGAAACAUGGAAAGAAAGAGAGAAAAUAAAAGAUGUGAAGCCUUCUUAUCUCUUAUCAGUAUGCAAAUAGAUGAACAAUAAGGUACUUGCUUAGUAUUGGAACUAUCAUGCUAAUUGUUUCAGGUUUGGAAAGAAAAGCACUGGAGUUAGGAAUAUAGGUUUCACAUCAAAAAAAUCGGCUGACAUGCAUUGCAACUUGCCACUGAUUGGUAAACAUCAUCUCCUCUAUUUAUUGCUCUCAACGGGUGCACCCUACAAAUCAAAGCUAUAGUGUUGAUGUCGCAUUCAUAAUUCAUUCCCUGUUUUUAUUGUUUCACAAACAUAAAUGUCAAUUGCUAAGAAUUACUUGAUCAAAUUGCUGUAAUAUGGGUAGAUGAGACAUAUUUCUGGUGGAUACUGCAUGUUAGUUCUCUUUUGUAGGUCAGAAUAAAUGUGGUCAUAUUUGUAUUCUCUUCCGUCGGUUUACAGUCCUUGUGAUGAUUAUAACUGAUGUUUUCAUAGACAUUAUUUUAAUCUUUUUAACAAGGGGAUGUGAAGAGCUUUAUCUAUAUCUAUACCAAUAUAAAAAGACCCUAAGGGGCAGAUCCAAUUAAUCUCAGCCAUCAAAUAAGGUCAAUCCAACGACCCAAAUUGCUCCAAUGAUGAGCGCUCAACAUGUUUAACAUGCAACAAAUAUCAACGUCAGCGCUAAUCACACAAUUAACACAAAAAUGGUAUCUUACACUUUGCUGCUGCCAUUGUGUGACUGGAAGCUGACACAUCGGUGUGACACUUCUGCGUCCCAGUGCUCCACAGGGCAGCAGUUUGGUUGGGUGUUUAUACUUUAAAUUUGUAAUCAACACCUUCCAUUACAAUGGUGAGUUGUGCAUACGCAAGCAGUCUACUGUGAGAUGCAUAUUAAAAAAAAAUUGCAGGUUGAUACGAAAAACACACUUUUCAUUUCUGUAUGUGCCUUCUCUGACAUGCGGAGGAUUUGUCUCAAAAGUUUAUAUGAUUGGAGAUAAUAAAAUCUCUACUCUCUGGAACGACCUUUCUUUUAUUUAUAUACUUCCAUUUGUGUGUCUGAAAGUAUGUGCACUGUGCAAGACAUAGCCACUGUCCUUUUGGUUUUGAAAGAAUGAUAUUUCAUGAAUUGCGUGAUUAUGCUUUGAUAAAUGCUCUCGAGGAAUCAAGCUUGCUUGAAGAUGUAAGUUUAUUUGAUGGUUUUGUGUCACUUCUGAAUUUUUAUAUUAUUAUACGCUCAGAUACUAAAGGUAACUUUGGAUAACUUCCUACUAAUACAGUGAAUGAUGAUCUGCCUUGACACUAGAAUUUAUCAGGAGGUUGCCAAUGCCAUUGGUUCCACUCGUCUCACUGAAGCUCAAUUGGUUCAGGAGGCCAGCUUUGUGGUUCAGUCUACUAGGUCCUACACCGCAGUUUUUCCUUCCCAUUUUGUCAACUUCAAAACCUAGCUGAUAUAUCUUGUCAGGUUCUCUGGGAGCCCAUUAACCAAUAGGCAAGCAAUAGAAAGAAGUUGUCCAAAAUGAAUUAUGUUAGCCUGUGAUUUGUUUGCAUCAGAAGUUUUAUUUAAAGAAUUCCUUCUUUGAUGAUUUAUAACAGGAAACAUGGCAUGACAAUGGAAACGGUGCGGCGAAGCGCACAUUUUCUUCAAGUAUUAUUGAAAUGCUACAGAUUGUAAAAAACUGAUAUUUUGAUUAUAUGUGCAAUUGCAAGGAUAAAAAUUGAUAUUAGUCAAAUAAAACAAUCUUCGGUAAAAAUUAGCAGCAACAACCUAGGAAGAGAAAUUUAAAUGAAUAAACAAUAA
Hordeum vulgare subsp. vulgare (domesticated barley) is the source of this 3109-nucleotide long non-coding RNA. RefSeq lists it as uncharacterized. Lineage: Eukaryota; Viridiplantae; Streptophyta; Magnoliopsida; Poales; Poaceae. The transcript has 3 exons. The record is from RefSeq and is a predicted model, not a curated record.